AUUUCCGCUGCUGUUUUUCUUCUGCUCUACCUCUUGCUAUGCUACGAAAACUUCCACUUCCAUGUGGCUCAUAUGUAUGCUCACCUAGGGUAUCCCAACGCCCAACACAUUGUGGGACAGAGAUAUUUAAAAGGAGCUGGUGUGCAAAAGAAUGAAGAGAAAGCUAUGCAGUGGUUCAGUCAAGCUGCAGAGCAUGGCCACCCUCACGCCUCUUUUAAUUUGGCUGUUGGAAAGCU
Long non-coding RNA from Gekko japonicus, 236 nucleotides. RefSeq lists it as uncharacterized. NCBI's taxonomy places the organism in Eukaryota, Metazoa, Chordata, Lepidosauria, Squamata, Gekkonidae. The transcript has 3 exons. The record is from RefSeq and is a predicted model, not a curated record.